Molecule: ribosomal RNA, 389 nt
Filed under: uncultured bacterium
Lineage: Bacteria
Description: bacterial SSU rRNA
Rfam family: Bacterial small subunit ribosomal RNA
Source: RNAcentral
AUUGAACGCUGGCGGCAUGCCUUACACAUGCAAGUCGAACGGCAGCACAGGAGCAAUCCUGGUGGCGAGUGGCGAACGGGUGAGUAAUAUAUCGGAACGUGCCCAGUCGUGGGGGAUAACGUAGCGAAAGCUACGCUAAUACCGCAUACGAUCUAUGGAUGAAAGCGGGGGAUCGCAAGACCUCGCGCGAUUGGAGCGGCCGAUAUCAGAUUAGGUAGUUGGUGAGGUAAAGGCUCACCAAGCCGACGAUCUGUAGCUGGUCUGAGAGGACGACCAGCCACACUGGGACUGAGACACGGCCCAGACUCCUACGGGAGGCAGCAGUGGGGGAAUUUUUGGGACAAUGGGCGCAAGCCUGAUCCAGCAAUGCCGCGUGCAGGAUGAAGGCC